RNAcentral lists this long non-coding RNA (718 nucleotides) under Cercocebus atys (sooty mangabey). RNAcentral's name for it is "lncRNA (ENSCATG00000045828.1)". The record is from RNAcentral. Lineage: Eukaryota; Metazoa; Chordata; Mammalia; Primates; Cercopithecidae.
CCCAAAUGAAGUUGAAAAUCCAAUUUAUAAGACCAAUUUCUAUUCUCUCACAAUUUAUAUUAUUAGAGAAAAUGGAUAAUGAUGAAGCCCACAGAUUUCACUCCAGAACUGACUUUGCUGCAGAGGAGCGAGGAGAGCUGCCUGGCAACACAACGCAUCGCUGUGCAUAAACUUUGUUUACAGCCAAGGCUGGAGUAAAGGAACAGAUGGCAAGAAAAUCGGAUUUAAAGAAAGGAAGGAUGUGCCUGCAUCUGGGAGCUCGGCAAAACCGUUUGAAGCAGCUGCCCCUCACACUAUAUGAAAUAGCUAUUACCAAGGCUCACAGUAAAGCUGCCCAAGGCUUGCUUACCCCGCCCUCCAGAAGGAAAGUGCAAGUUACUCUUCAGGUAAGAUUUACAUCUGCUCCCUUGGGAGGGUAAAGGGAGAGAACAUAUACAUUUUAUCCCAAUGAUGUAAACUUGCACUUAACAACCCCAAUUGUUCAAUGCUGACAACAAGUUAUAAGCAUUUUUAUUUCAAAAUAACCCCAUAUACAUUUAUAGCAAUUCUAGGAUCUUCACAGCUACCCAUAAUCAAUCCCCUACAGAAACAUGCUCCAUGCCAAGAAACUCCACCCCACUCCUACAUGUUAGCAACCUGUCACUCCUGAGCAACAUCCAGUUCUGUGGAAAGUCACUUCUUCAAAUUCAUCGUGAGCUGAAGAUGAAAUUACUUAAGC